UACGAAGGGUGCAAGCGUUACUCGGAAUUACUGGGCGUAAAGGGUGCGUAGGUGGUUGUUUAAGUCUGUUGUGAAAGCCCCGGGCUCAACCUGGGAAUGGCAAUGGAUACUGGACAGCUAGAGUGCGGUAGAGGGUAGUGGAAUUCCCGGUGUAGCAGUGAAAUGCGUAGAGAUCGGGAGGAACACCAGUGGCGAAGGCGGGUCUCUGGACAGUUCCUGACGCUGAGGCACGAAGGUCAGGGGAGCAAACGGG
RNAcentral lists this ribosomal RNA (253 nucleotides) under uncultured bacterium. RNAcentral's name for it is "partial 16S ribosomal RNA". It matches the Rfam family "Bacterial small subunit ribosomal RNA", at positions 524 to 776 of the family's 1533-position model. The record is from RNAcentral.